GAGAGGCCGCAGGAGUCGGAGGGGACAGUGGGGCGCUCGUGGGAACUAAUACCGACCGGGGAGCUGAGGCUACGACUGGUGCGCCCGACCGGGGAACUGAGGCUACGACUGGUGGAGGGGUAUCGGGGAGUGAAGUAAUCGGAGGCGGGGUCGCAGGUGCCACGAUCGGUGCAGGAGUGGGAGGAGAAUUUUCAACAGGUGGAGGACUGUCAGGGAGUGAACUCAUCGGAGGCGGAGCCGCAUCCACAACCGGUGCAGGAGUGGGAGGAGAAUUUUCAACAGGUGGAGGGCUGUCAGGGAGUGAACUCAUCGGAGGCGGAGCCGCAUUCACAACCGGUGCAGGAGUGGGAGGAGAAUUUUCAACAGGUGGAGGGCUGUCGGGAGAUGAAGUAACAACCACCGGUGCCGGAGUGGGAGGAGAAUUAAUUUCCAUUGGCGGAGGACUAUCCGGAAUUGACACCGUCGGCGGAAUUGCAUCCACAACCGGUGGCGGAGUGGGGGGAGAAUUAACUUCCAUUGGCGGAGGACUAUCCGGAAUUGACACCGUCGGCGGAAUUGUAUCCACAACCGGUGCCGGAGUGGGAGGAGAAUUAACUUCCAUUGACGGAGGACUAUCCGGAAUUGCAUCAACAACCGGUGCUGGAGUGGGAGGAGACUCAAUCACCGUUGGAGAAGAUGGUGUGUCUGCAACCGGAGAUGACUCACUCGUGGGAGAGAUCUCCGAUGUUAUGGUGGUAGGAGCAGAGGCAGAGGCAGGGGACAUAGCAUGAACGCCGACCGACAUUGCCACAAUACACAUAAGUAAACCAACCGUCGCAACACUCCGGUGAUCCAUGUAAAAAAACUGCCACUGCUAUGCAAAAAUAAGAAGACGAAGAAUGAAAAGACACUAAGUGUGAUUUAAAUAGCAUCAGAAAAACAUAAAAAUGAGGUGAUUUAUAUACCAGAACUAUACCAGA
This 959-nucleotide long non-coding RNA is filed under the name Zostera marina. Its description in RNAcentral is "long non-coding RNA (ZMAR_LNC005789)". Lineage: Eukaryota; Viridiplantae; Streptophyta; Magnoliopsida; Alismatales; Zosteraceae. The record is from RNAcentral.